RNAcentral lists this transfer RNA (56 nucleotides) under Steinernema litorale. RNAcentral describes it as "tRNA-Trp". Lineage: Eukaryota; Metazoa; Nematoda; Chromadorea; Rhabditida; Steinernematidae. The record is from RNAcentral.
ACAGAUAUAAGUUAAGUUUAAACUAGUGGUCUUCAAAACCAAAAAUUCAAUCUGUA